This 399-nucleotide long non-coding RNA is filed under the name Capsicum annuum. RNAcentral's name for it is "long non-coding RNA (CANN_LNC000655)". Lineage: Eukaryota; Viridiplantae; Streptophyta; Magnoliopsida; Solanales; Solanaceae. The record is from RNAcentral.
CGAGGGGAAGGUGUUACGAACCUCUCGGACUCGUGGUUCUAAUGCGAUCGCUUCUUGACUUAUAUCGGCUAAUUUGACGCUGUGAAGUGAAUAAACCACAUAAAACACACAAAACAAAUCCAAAAAAUAGUGUAUAGUCCAAUUAUUACAAUCUAAAAUAAGAGAUACUAAAAUAAACCUAUGCUAACCUACACUAGUCCUAAACUAUGCUCUACCCGAUGCCUCGGGCCUUGAUCACGAAUGUCCUUUGCGUACAAGAUACUUCGAGGCAUACCCCGGUGAUUAAGUACAAAUGGCCUUGGGGCAUUCCCCGGCUAAAUGAAUACAUUUUCCAAUUUCAAGCGAUAAAAUGAAGCAAUCUCAAGCAUAAACAUUCGAUCAUUCCACAAUCAUCAAUUU